UACGUAGGUGGCAAGCGUUGUUCGGAAUUAUUGGGCGUAAAGGGCGCGUAGGCGGUUUGUUAAGUCGGUCGUGAAAGCCCGGGGCUCAACCCCGGAGGGUCGACCGAUACUGGCAGACUAGAGUACAGAAGAGGUAACUGGAAUUCCCGGUGUAGCAGUGAAAUGCGUAGAGAUCGGAAAGAACACCAACGGCGAAAGCACUCUGCUGGGCCGACACUGACACUGAGAGACGAAAGCUAGGGGAGCGAAUGGG
RNAcentral lists this ribosomal RNA (253 nucleotides) under uncultured bacterium. Its description in RNAcentral is "partial 16S ribosomal RNA". It matches the Rfam family "Bacterial small subunit ribosomal RNA", at positions 524 to 776 of the family's 1533-position model. The record is from RNAcentral.